Molecule: non-coding RNA, 226 nt
Organism: Pelobates cultripes (western spadefoot toad)
Lineage: Eukaryota; Metazoa; Chordata; Amphibia; Anura; Pelobatidae
Source: the annotation of a GenBank genome assembly
GUCCAGCAAAGCAGGAAGUCAAUGGAUGAGGUAAAAGGGUGGGCCACUGAUGCAAAUCAUGCCAAAAGGGGCGUACAUGCCCAAAAAGGGGGUAUGUCUGUUCAAAGAAUUGGAAGGCCAGCCUGGCAUCAGUGUCCCUAUCUAUCACAGUGUCGGUGUCCCCAUAUUGCCCAUUACCCUAGUCACCCAGUGUCUGUGUCCCCAUUUCUCCUAGUGUCCCCAUGUC